This 377-nucleotide unclassified non-coding RNA is filed under the name uncultured Caryophanales bacterium. RNAcentral describes it as "uncultured Bacillales bacterium contains 16S-23S intergenic spacer region". Lineage: Bacteria; Bacillati; Bacillota; Bacilli; Caryophanales. The record is from RNAcentral.
UCCGGCUUUCACCGGCUGUCUCUUUAGAGUGCCCAGCUCUACCUGCUGGCAACUAAAAAUAAGGGUUGCGCUCGUUGCGGGACUGAACCCAACAUCUCACGACACGAGCUGACGACAACCAUGCACCACCUGUCUCCACUGUCCCAAAGGGUCAUCACUAUCUCUAGUAACUUCAGUGGGAUGUCAAGCCCUGGUAAGGUUCUUCGCGUUGCUUCGAAUUAAACCACAUGCUCCACCGCUUGUGCGGGCCCCCGUCAAUUCCUUUGAGUUUCAGCCUUGCGGCCGUACUCCCCAGGCGGAGUGCUUACUGGGUUUCCUUCGGCACUGAGGGGCGGGCCCCCCAACACCUAGCACUCAUCGUUUACGGCGUGGACUAC